This 478-nucleotide ribosomal RNA is filed under the name uncultured bacterium. RNAcentral's name for it is "partial 16S ribosomal RNA". It matches the Rfam family "Bacterial small subunit ribosomal RNA", at positions 28 to 523 of the family's 1533-position model. The record is from RNAcentral.
GACGAACGCUGGCGGCGUGCUUAACACAUGCAAGUCGAACGGUAAGGCCCUUCGGGGUACACGAGUGGCGAACGGGUGAGUAACACGUGGGUGAUCUGCCCUGCACUUCGGGAUAAGCCUGGGAAACUGGGUCUAAUACCGGAUAGGACCCUGGGAUGCAUGUCCUGGGGUGGAAAGCUUUUGCGGUGUGGGAUGGGCCCGCGGCCUUUCAGCUUGUUGGUGGGGUGAUGGCCUACCAAGGCGACGACGGGUAGCCGGCCUGAGAGGGUGACCGGCCACAAUGGGAAUGUGAUACGGCCCAGACUCUAACGGGGGGCAGGAGUGGGGAAUAUUGCGCAAUGGGCGCAAGCCUGAUGCAGCGAGGCCGCGUGAGGGAUGACGGCCUUCGGGUUGUAAACCUGUUUCAGCACCGACGAAGCGCAAGUGACGGUAGGUGCAGAAGAAGGACCGGCCAACUACGUGCCAGCCGCCGCAGUAA